This 73-nucleotide transfer RNA is filed under the name Agaribacter marinus. It matches the Rfam family "tRNA". Rfam says of the family: Transfer RNA (tRNA) molecules are approximately 80 nucleotides in length. Lineage: Bacteria; Pseudomonadati; Pseudomonadota; Gammaproteobacteria; Alteromonadales; Alteromonadaceae. The record is from Rfam by way of RNAcentral.
CGGCCCUUAGUUCAACCGGAUAGAACGGAUCCCUCCUAAGGUUCAAAUGGGGGUUCGAGUCCCUCAGGGCCGG